UUGCCAGGUGGGGCAUGUCAGCCUGGAAGCCCCCAUCACCGUCCAGUGGGAGCCCCGUUCCUCCAGCUCUGCCAAGAGCAAACUGUGGACAGGGAUCAUGGGGGCCGUGAUUGGAGCGGCCUUCCUGGCUGUGGGGCUCUUCUCCUACCUGAAGAGCAAGAAAGCCACUCCCAUCCAACCUCCUGCAGGUGAGUUUCUCCUCUUCCUCCCUCAUCUCAGCCUCUCCUACAAGUUAUAGGUGUUUUUUUAAAUAUUUUUUUUUAAAUAUCUCCUUUCUG
This 278-nucleotide long non-coding RNA is filed under the name Notechis scutatus (mainland tiger snake). RNAcentral describes it as "lncRNA (ENSNSUG00000003838.1)". Lineage: Eukaryota; Metazoa; Chordata; Lepidosauria; Squamata; Elapidae. The record is from RNAcentral.